This 263-nucleotide long non-coding RNA is filed under the name Brassica napus (rape). RNAcentral's name for it is "long non-coding RNA (BNAP_LNC001620)". Lineage: Eukaryota; Viridiplantae; Streptophyta; Magnoliopsida; Brassicales; Brassicaceae. The record is from RNAcentral.
UGAAAGAGUGGGAAGACUUAGUUUCAACUUAACGGUGAUUUGCAGAGACUACACUGAAGAAGGUGAAGUGGAGAGUCGGUGAUCCCUAUCGUAGUAGUUGGGCCAAGUGAUGGGGUUUGUAUGAAAGUGGGCCACACUGAAUCAGAUAACUGGGAAAUAACUGUGUCCGGCCUUGGGAAAUUAUUGACGUGGCCGCAUAACAGUUUUCUAUUGGUCAAUUAAAUUAGAUGACGUGGAUGCUCUCUCCGCUCACCGUAUUCUGC